CUCGAAUGAAUUUUCUGUACUGGAGAUUAAUCCAAAAGCUGUUCAUGUUCAGUCGAUUGGGUCUUCAGUACUGGAGAAUACAAAUGCUUUUCAUGUUGAGUCACAGGAUAAUAAUAAACAGAUUGGUGAUGUAGAUCACUGCUGUAAUGUGCCAAUGCAGUCAUUGAGCCCAGAUGUCCAAAAUGGUGAAAUAUUAUCAGAUCUUAAUGGUCUGAAUUGUGCCAAUGCAGUCAUUGAGAUGCAGGUUAAUGAAGGGAAGAAACCUGU
RNAcentral lists this long non-coding RNA (267 nucleotides) under Nicotiana benthamiana. RNAcentral describes it as "long non-coding RNA (NBEN_LNC001504)". Lineage: Eukaryota; Viridiplantae; Streptophyta; Magnoliopsida; Solanales; Solanaceae. The record is from RNAcentral.